Oreochromis aureus is the source of this 322-nucleotide long non-coding RNA. The record is from Ensembl. NCBI's taxonomy places the organism in Eukaryota, Metazoa, Chordata, Actinopteri, Cichliformes, Cichlidae.
GCUCAGAGGGUUGAGAAGCUACUGUGAGACCCGGUGGCAGAGGCUCUAAUGGGAGGAAGACGAAGGCAACUCUUGAGUCUCUCACCUCCCACUACCCACCAAGAUGCCCGCAUGACCAACUCCACUGCCAUGAUAAAUGCCAGAGGGGAAAUUGUGCAGCCUGCCAUAAUUCCAAUUCCCAGGUGCUGCCAGGCUGUGGUGGUGUUCUCAGCUGUCACACAAAACUGUAAAUCCUGAAAGUAGGUCUUGACCAGUCCUGUGAUAUGGUUUGGUAUGCUGAAAUAUUUGAAAGCCGUCCACAAGAUCUCGUGCAGAACUGACC